Molecule: long non-coding RNA, 203 nt
Filed under: Gossypium barbadense (sea-island cotton)
Lineage: Eukaryota; Viridiplantae; Streptophyta; Magnoliopsida; Malvales; Malvaceae
Description: long non-coding RNA (GBAR_LNC014752)
Source: RNAcentral
UUUUUUUUAUAGGGUAGGUCCCCCUCUUUCAGCACACACUUUUCUCCCUCUUUUUUAGGUGGAUUUAUCUGGUACACGUUCAACUGACUGAGAGUGAAGAGGACCGAGUGCUGUGUCAGCAUUUUCCUAGAAUUGCCAUGGCAUUUGUGUUGGCAAUCCAUCCAACCUUUUGCCAUGGCAAUAUUUCACUUCAUUUAUUCUCU